RNAcentral lists this small RNA (93 nucleotides) under Salmonella enterica. Its description in RNAcentral is "partial RtT sRNA". It matches the Rfam family "RtT RNA", at positions 40 to 130 of the family's 130-position model. From Rfam's summary of the family: This family represents a bacterial cis-regulatory element known as RtT RNA. RNAcentral also lists the same sequence under 2 other names. The record is from RNAcentral. Lineage: Bacteria; Pseudomonadati; Pseudomonadota; Gammaproteobacteria; Enterobacterales; Enterobacteriaceae.
GGUUCGAUUCGAGCGAAAGCGAGAAAGCGUUGCCAACGGCAACGACCCGAAGGGCGAAGCGCGCAGCGCUGAGUAAUCCUUCCCCCACCACCA